This 250-nucleotide ribosomal RNA is filed under the name uncultured bacterium. Its description in RNAcentral is "partial 16S ribosomal RNA". It matches the Rfam family "Bacterial small subunit ribosomal RNA", at positions 524 to 773 of the family's 1533-position model. The record is from RNAcentral.
UACAGAGGGUGCAAGCGUUAAUCGGAAUUACUGGGCGUAAAGGGCGCGUAGGCGGUUAAUUAAGUUAGAUGUGAAAUACCUGGGCUUAACCUGGGGAUUGCAUUUAAUACUGGUUGGCUAGAGUAGAGUAGAGGGAAGUGGAAUUUCCAGUGUAGCGGUGAAAUGCGUAGAUAUUGGAAAGAACACCGGUGGCGAAGGCGGCUUCCUGGACUCAUACUGACGCUGAGGCGCGAAAGCGUGGGGAGCAAAC